AUAAAUAAGCCUCACAACCCUUUUUCUCUCAUUUUCUCCCUCACGCAUAAGAGAAGUAAGGACAAGAACCAUUCUUUUCCUCUCCUCUUCCUCUCUCUAGAUUCCUCCCAAACUUGGAGUUUUGGUAGAGACCAAGCUCGGGAUGCUCGGAGAAGUGGAGAACCGAGCUUUUGGGCGCUUGGUGGCUCGAAGUGCUUUCAACUCGAGAUUCGUUUUUGAGUUAAGAGGUUAGAGAAGUACCCCAUAUGACUUUGAUUUGAAAAUUGACGAACGUUUGGUGAUCGUUUCGACUAACGAACCGAACCGGGCGAUAUUGGCCAUAUUGGCUCGAAAGGGAGCGAUUACGCGUAGGAGCCCGAUUGUAAGUGUCUACAAGCAAUCGGAAGUGUUGCAAGCCUUGUGGAGGUCGUAACUCCCAAGCCGUGAGCUCCGGAGUGUCACAUUGAGAUUGAGACGGGGGAGGGAGUCACGACGGUGUGCCCCCAGCAGACAGUCAUAGUGGUGACUUGAUGUGGCGAGUUGAGACUCGAUCUACAGGCGAGCUGAUGCAAUUAGGACCAGGAAAAAAGAUAGGUUAUUAUACAGUAUCUUGCAUUCUAUAUAUGUGCGCGUGGUGAGUACUUGACCAUGAUGUUAUUAAAAUGGCAUAGUGGUUAGCAUUGUUACAUGUUAUACUUUGGGUUGAGAUAGACUUGUAUCCUAUGCUAUAUUGUAUUGUUGCAUCCUGCAUAGAAGGUGAGUAUAGUGAGAUCACAUGUUGAGUGUGGGGUCGAUCGUGAUAUUCAUGUGAGUUGGGCUUGGUCUUGUGGGAAGCCUUUGAUUGGGUUGAGAAUAAGUCACAUGUGGAGUAACAGUUGAUCAUUUUAUUCUUGGACCUAGACCCGUGAGGCUGUGUGGGGUUAGUUGGACUGGAUUUGUGGAAACCCCUGAUUGGGUCGAGAAUGAGUUGGGUCAAGAGUGAGUAAAAGAACACCCUUGAUUAUAGUAAAUCGUGAAACUCAUUCCCUACCGUUGUAAGGCAUAGUAGGAAUUGCUUUCAGUUCCAUACAUGCUUAGUGUAGUAGUAUUAUUGCUUAUCAGUUUUUGUAGCUACUUAUGCCUGAUUAGACCUAAUGGAAAAUCAGCGAGGUCGGUAAUCGAACUCACUGGGAACUAUUUUUAUAGUUCUCACUCCCAUAUUUUGCAGGUUCACACAUGAGAGACGCAGCGGCGCGAGGAAAGGAUAUAACUAUAGUUAGCGUCCUGCUAUGCGACCAAAGAUAGAUGUACCAUGUAUCGAUGUAGCUUAAGGGUUGAAAAGAAUGAAAGAAAUGUAAUAAAAUUGAUUGUAUUUGAAAGAAUAUAAAUGUAAAUUAAAUGAGAUGAAUGUUUUUAAUAGUAUAGUUAUUUAUGUUUAUUA
This is a long non-coding RNA of Ananas comosus (pineapple), 1399 nucleotides long. RefSeq lists it as uncharacterized. The record is from RefSeq and is a predicted model, not a curated record. The transcript is spliced from 3 exons. NCBI's taxonomy places the organism in Eukaryota, Viridiplantae, Streptophyta, Magnoliopsida, Poales, Bromeliaceae.